ACUGUAUGUGUGAGAUUGGUGAGAUCACUCAUUAAAGAUGGAAGUGAGAGGCUGUGUGUUGUGUUUGCUUGUGGGAUGCCUUCUAGUGUCUGUGGCUGGAGCCCUGCAGUGUCGGGCUGUGCCUGGCAGUCUGAAGCAGA
This is a non-coding RNA of Lepisosteus oculatus (spotted gar), 140 nucleotides long. Lineage: Eukaryota; Metazoa; Chordata; Actinopteri; Semionotiformes; Lepisosteidae. The record is from RefSeq and is a predicted model, not a curated record.